This is a long non-coding RNA of Ictidomys tridecemlineatus (thirteen-lined ground squirrel), 494 nucleotides long. RefSeq lists it as uncharacterized. The record is from RefSeq and is a predicted model, not a curated record. Lineage: Eukaryota; Metazoa; Chordata; Mammalia; Rodentia; Sciuridae.
AGCGAAAGUUGCUUAUGUCAUUAAAUCCUAGCUAGGAAGCAGGGAGUGGUUCCUGGAUGGUCAAGGGUGAGAGGCAAGCUUCGGGACAAACGAAGCCUACAAUUCACAAGGAUUUAGUGGUGGAACGGGUCUGUCUCUACUUGCCAAUUCGAAGACGAACCCUGGGAAGUUUUCUGCUUUUUUUUCUUCCUUUUUCUUUUAAGACCAUAUCAUUUAUUAAAGUGCACACUCUGGCUGGGGUGGGGAAAGGAGUAGAGGAGAGGAGAAGAUCACUAAAUCCCAAACUAGUGGAAAUAGCAGUGGGCAAAGGCAAAACCGGUUCUCAAAAAGCGGGAACUCUAGGUUCUGGGCACUCACAAUUUGGCUCUGGAACCACAUUUCCCCCUUGGCAGUUCAACAAACCAAGCGGCUAGUAUAUGUUCAGAAGAGUCCAAGGUAUCCGACUGCAGAGAAUUGGAAGGAUAAUGGAUCUGGAGUGAAAAUAACAGUAAGAU